Molecule: non-coding RNA, 72 nt
Organism: Erinaceus europaeus (western European hedgehog)
Lineage: Eukaryota; Metazoa; Chordata; Mammalia; Eulipotyphla; Erinaceidae
Source: Rfam
GGGACCAAUGAUGAGGACACUGGGGUCUCUGAAUCAACAGUCUUGAUUACACCCUAAAACUCUGAGGUCAGA